AACUAACGCUGGCGGCGUGCCUAACACAUGCAAGUCGUACGAGAAAGUCGGCUUCGGCUGAUGAGUAAAGUGGCGCACGGGUGAGUAACGCGUGGAUAAUCUGCCUUUUAGUUGGGAAUAACGUACCGAAAGGUGCGCUAAUACCGGAUAAUACUGCAUAACUACUGUUGUGUAGUCAAAGAAGGCCUCUGUUUACAAGCUUUUGCUGAAAGAUGAGUCCGCGUACCAUUAGCUAGUUGGUAGGGUAAUGGCCUACCAAGGCUACGAUGGUUAGCUGGUCCGGGAGGAUGAUCAGCCACACUGGAACUGAGACACGGUCCAGACUCCUACGGGAGGCAGCAGUGAGGAAUAUUGCGCAAUGGGGGCAACCCUGACGCAGCAACGCCGCGUGAGUGAGGAAGGUUUUCGGACCGUAAAGCUCUGUCGAGCGGGAAGAAAUGUAUCGUGGCUAAUAUCCAUGAUAUUUGACGGUACCGCUAAAGGAAGCACCGGCUAACUCCGUGCCAGCCGCCGCAGUAA
This 519-nucleotide ribosomal RNA is filed under the name uncultured bacterium. RNAcentral describes it as "partial 16S ribosomal RNA". It matches the Rfam family "Bacterial small subunit ribosomal RNA", at positions 29 to 523 of the family's 1533-position model. The record is from RNAcentral.